This 72-nucleotide transfer RNA is filed under the name Marmota monax (woodchuck). Its description in RNAcentral is "tRNA.Ala". Lineage: Eukaryota; Metazoa; Chordata; Mammalia; Rodentia; Sciuridae. The record is from RNAcentral.
GUGGGUUUGUGGCUCAGUGGUAGAGCGCUCGCCUAGCAUGUGCGCACCCUGGGUUCGAUCCUUGGCACCACA